GUCAAUUAAAUUGAAUGUCUGAUACCUCAUGAGUUUCCCUACUCUGAUGACUUAUUGACUGGACGCAUUUCAAGAUGAAAAUGAGGAGGGCAUUGUCUAGAGAAGCUAAGUGCCAUUGUAUCCUUUUUGCAUAUCUUUUCUGUCACUUGAGACCAGAAACAGCUUUAAGGGGCAAGACCUCUGGGAGAAAAUAGAGGCAGUUGUGGGCUUAAGAACUAGCACUGGCAAUCAAGAGUUGCUCUUUGAAGAGGAGCAAACCCGUCAAUUCAGCUGAGAAAGAAAUCCCCCUAGCCAAAGUGCUUCUCCAAGAAGAUGGCUGGUUCUUCUAGAGAAGCUUAAAGACUCAGGAGGAAAGAAAAGACAUUGGGUUCCUGCAGUACUGAUGUUAGAACUGAUGAUGAAACACAUUAACCACUGCUUGCUGAGAGAGGUGAUGCCCUCAGAGUACAGAAUGAGAUGUACUUAUUUGGACAUGACUAAGGAACCAGGAUGGCAGAGUAAAAAGGUAGUUGCAC
Non-coding RNA from Phascolarctos cinereus (koala), 515 nucleotides. NCBI's taxonomy places the organism in Eukaryota, Metazoa, Chordata, Mammalia, Diprotodontia, Phascolarctidae. The record is from RefSeq and is a predicted model, not a curated record.